CAGUCGCCGCGGUAAUACGGAGGGUGCAAGCGUUAUCCGGAUUCAUUGGGUUUAAAGGGUGCGUAGGCGGAUCUGUAAGUCAGUGGUGAAAUCUCCAGGCUUAACCUGGAAACUGCCGUUGAUACUAUAGGUCUUGAAUUCUGUGGAGGUUAGCGGAAUAUGUCAUGUAGCGGUGGAAUGCAUAGAUAUGACAUAGAACACCUAUGGCGAAGGCAGCUCGCUGGAACGUUACUGACGCUGAGACGCGAAAGCGUGGGGAGCAAACAGGAUUAGAUACCCGCGUAGUCCCUGUCUCUUAUAU
This 301-nucleotide ribosomal RNA is filed under the name uncultured bacterium. Its description in RNAcentral is "partial 16S ribosomal RNA". It matches the Rfam family "Bacterial small subunit ribosomal RNA", at positions 509 to 809 of the family's 1533-position model. The record is from RNAcentral.